Molecule: non-coding RNA, 235 nt
Organism: Bacillus gaemokensis
Lineage: Bacteria; Bacillati; Bacillota; Bacilli; Caryophanales; Bacillaceae
Source: Rfam
UUGAAUGCGGUGAAAGGAAAAGAAGUAGUAGUUGUUUCCCUGUAACAGAGAGCUGGUGGUUGGUGUGAACCAGUACAAAAACAAGUGCGAAUUACAGUCCUGGAGCAUCUUUCUCGUAGUAAAGAAUUGUUUUCUUUAUGAAGGGAAAGACGGUCAAAUGAUCGUUAACAGUGAAGAGAGGUAGACGAAACAAGUCUGCAACUAGGGUGGUACCGCGAUAAAUAUCGUCCCUACU